GUGGUGGCCUUUUGCGCCGGGCUUUGGGUCUCUCACCCGGUGCUGACGCAGGGCCAGGAGGCCGGGGGGCGGCCAGGGGCCGACUGUGAAGGUAAAGAAGCUGUGUAAUCGCAGAGGAAGGACAUAACAGUUUGUAUGUAAAGAAUUCUUGAACCGAUUCUACAAGUCAUUGAUAGACAGAGGAGUUAACUUUUCGCUGGACACUAUAGAGAAAGAAUUGAUCAGUUUUUGCUUGGACACCAAAGGAAAAGAAAACCGCCUGAAAAAACACUGGACUUGGCAUCAGUUGACCUGCGGAAGAUGAGAGUGGCAGAGCUGAAGCAGAUCCUGCAUAGCUGGGGGGAGGAGUGCAGGGCCUGUGCAGAAAAAACUGACUAUGUGAAUCUCAUUCAAGAGCUGGCCCCCAAGUAUGCAGCAACACACCCCAAAACAGAGCUCUGAUCUCCAAUGCCAGCACAUUUGUGACUUGUAAUUAGAGAGAAAAGUGACUCUCUAGGAUAUGGACAUGUUGAUUAAGGAUAACUGGGAAUGCAUCAUAUUUGGUCUCAUGCUUUUUGUGUUGGUAUUAUUCCUCAGAAUUUUGUUACGUGGGUUUAUGAGUAAAACUAAUACUACAGAUAACUUACAUUUGCAGUGUACCAAAAGCUAAAAGUUCCUUUCUCAUAAGUUUCUUGGAAUGACUAUGCCAGUUUUCAUUGCCUGUCUCCUAAAAGUGACCUACUGACAAAUUGAUGGAGUAAAUUGAUUCCAAGAAAGAAGAAGGCAUUCAGAGACUCCUCUCUGGAUGCAAUUUUAAAAUAUAUUGGACUAAAACAAAAGACACGACAGUCAGCUUAUCUAAUGCACAACUUCAAUCCCAAAUACAGAAUCAAAAGUUUUUUUAAAGUGAA
RNAcentral lists this small RNA (890 nucleotides) under Pan troglodytes (chimpanzee). RNAcentral describes it as "processed transcript". Lineage: Eukaryota; Metazoa; Chordata; Mammalia; Primates; Hominidae. The record is from RNAcentral.